RNAcentral lists this long non-coding RNA (2341 nucleotides) under Heterocephalus glaber (naked mole-rat). Its description in RNAcentral is "lncRNA (ENSHGLG00100039434.1)". The record is from RNAcentral. Lineage: Eukaryota; Metazoa; Chordata; Mammalia; Rodentia; Bathyergidae.
ACGGCGUCAAGCAAGCGGCGCGCAGAGUGCAGGCGCAGGCUGCGGCGGCUUCGGAACACGGGUCCUGGAUGUAGUUGCUGCGGGUUGUCCUGGCUCUGCCCGCUUCCGCCCGGAGGAAGCGCGGCUACGUCAUAACCAUGGGAACCCCCGCCAGCGCAUGCGCAGGAGCUCACACCCGGCAGGUUGGCCGGAGCGGUAUUUCGAGUCGGACACCGGAUACUGCCCGGGUCUCACUAUGCAGCCCAGGCUGGCCUCGAGCUCAUUGGCGAUCCUCCUCCCUCAGCCUCCCUAGCGCUGGGAUUACAGGCGUGCUCCACCACGUCAGGCUUAGAAAUUUUCAUCUUUUGAACAGUUUAUGGACUAAAAAUUUUUCCAGCCUUAGAGAUAUGUGACAAAUGUAUAUAUUUGGCAUGUACAGAGCCAUGUCUCGACCUAAGUUAUCACCUGACCGUUUUUUUAAUUUUAGUUUGUUAGACACUAUUUUUACUCCGGGUUUCUCAUAUAAGAAAAACCAUGUGAUAUUUAAGUCUUUAUUUUAGUUUAUCAGUCUUUUUGUUUUUAUAGUUACUUCCGUGUAUGGUGAGAACGUUACAAUCUCAUAGCAAUUGUCAAGUGGACCAUGCAGUAUUAUUAAGUAAAAUCGCCGUGCCUGCGACAGAGUCCAGGGUGUGUGCAUAAAUGAAACUAGCCUUUUCCUGACAGUCCUCCACCCCAGCCCUGUAUCCCUUGGGAAUCGCUGGGCUGACUCAGACCCUUCUGAGCCACACUUUCUGGGAUUAUUGAUAUAGGGUGAUGGUUUUUCUGUGCUUUCUUUUUUUUUUUUUUUUGGUUGGUUGGUUUUGGUUUUGGUUUUUUGAGACAGAAUCUCACUAUGUAGUUGAAGCUGGCCUUGAACUCGCUGUGUAGUCCAGGCUUGAAUUUGCAGAGACCUUCCUGCCUCAGCCUCCUUAGUACUGGGAUUACAGGCGUGCACCACCAUACCCAGUAGGCAGUUUGAUGGAAUACUUUUAUUUCUCAAAAUAUACCCACUUAAUCCUUUGCCUUUUCAGUAAGCGUCUGGUCUAGUUCUUGGGAUGCAUCACAAACGAAACAAAAAUCAGAAACCCACUGGUGCUCAGGAGCUUUGGAUCUAAUUAAGCUUUUUAAAUUGCCUUACACUCACUAAGACGUAAGAUCUAUGGGCGCAAGUAUUUUCUUUUCCAUUUUUCUGGCAAUUUUAUUCUUGUGCAUUAGCACUAAGCAAAUAUUUGUUAAAUUAUAAAAUAAAUGGGCUGGGGGCGUCCCGGCCGCGAGCUCACCGUGUGCUCCCUGCUCCUUGGGCUCCUGCGGCCGCCCCGCCCGCCAUGCCCUCCUCCUCGGAAGACAUCUACGCCGCCGCGUUCCCGGGCAAGCCCCCCCCCCCCCAGGCGGCCCUGCGGCUGCGCUUCAUGCGGCUGUCGGAGCACUCCAGGAGCACGCCGCCGGCCACGACCUGUACAGUGCCGGUGAUUAUAUAAUACCACCGAUGGAGAACGCUCUUGUGAAAACGGACAUUCAGAUUGCUCUUCCUCCUGGGUCCUAUGGAAGAGUAGCUCCACGAUCUGGCUUGGCUGCCAAACACUUCAUAGAUGUUGGAGCUGGAGUCAUAGAUGGAGAUUAUAGAGGAAAUGUUGGCGCUGUGCUGUUUAAUUUUGGCAAAGAAAAGUUUGAAUUAAAAAAGGCGAUCGAAUUGCCCAGCUCAUGUGUGGACGGACUUAUUACCCAGAAAUAGAAGAAGUUCAAGGAUUGGACAGUACCGAGAGGGGUUCCGGAGGCUUUGGAUCCACUGGGAAGAAUUAAUUAAAAUUUAGGCUAAAAUGAGAAAAUGCCCUUUUUUCUUAAAAAGAGACUUUUUGGCUAAAGUGUUUUAUACAUCUGUAAACUUAAAAUUUUUAAUUUGCUAUGGUAAAGGAAAAGGUAUCUCAAAAAAUGCAAAAAAAACACAAAGGUGUCUCUGUUAGCAUCGCUUAGAAACUUUGUGUUAUCUGCAGUUGAAGGCUGUAUAUAAAUCUGAUUUGUGGUGACCUGAUACAGACAUAAAAAUCUAAUGUAUAUCAGUUACAGAUUUUUAAAUAACUGUAAUUUAAUUCAAUAAACAUUCAACAUAAAAAAUAAAUAAAUAAAUAAAAAUAAAUGAGCCGGGGAUUUAGCUCGGUGGUUCUGUCGACUCCAUCACAAGUGCAAGGUCCCGAGUUCAAUCCCCGGUACUAAAAAAAAAAAUUAUAAAAUAAGUUCUUGAGGGCAGUGUCAUAAAUAUUAGUUAAUUCUGACACAUAUGUUCUGCGAUUUGUUAGACUGUUUCCUAAAACAGUCCUAACUGAAC